AUACUUACCUGGCAGGGGAGAUACCAUGAUCACAAAGGUGGUUUUUCCAGGGUGAGGCUUAUCCAUUACACUCCGGAUGUGCUGAUCCCUGUGAUUUCCCCAAGUGUGGGAAACUUGACUGCAUAAUUUGUGGUAGUGGGAGACUGUGUUCGCGCUCUCCCCUG
This 164-nucleotide small nuclear RNA is filed under the name Carlito syrichta (Philippine tarsier). Its description in RNAcentral is "U1 spliceosomal RNA (ENSTSYG00000025876.1)". It matches the Rfam family "U1 spliceosomal RNA". Rfam says of the family: U1 is a small nuclear RNA (snRNA) component of the spliceosome (involved in pre-mRNA splicing). Its 5' end forms complementary base pairs with the 5' splice junction, thus defining the 5' donor site of an intron. Lineage: Eukaryota; Metazoa; Chordata; Mammalia; Primates; Tarsiidae. The record is from Rfam by way of RNAcentral.